GGUAAUGCCGGAUGCUCCAGUUGACCGCAUGGUCCUCUGGGAAAGCUUCUGCGGUAUGGGAUGGGGUCGCGUCCUAUCAGCUUGAUGGCGGGGUAACGGCCCACCAUGGCUUCGACGGGUAGCCGGCCUGAGAGGGCGACCGGCCACAUUGGGACUGAGAUACGGCCCAGACUCCUACGGGAGGCAGCAGUGGGGAAUAUUGCACAAUGGGCGCAAGCCUGAUGCAGCGACGCCGCGUGCGGGAUGACGGCCUUCGGGUUGUAAACCGCUUUUGACUGGGAGCAAGCCCUUCGGGGUGAGUGUACCUUUCGAAUAAGCACCGGCUAACUACGUGCCAGCAGCCGCGGUAAUACGUAGGGUGCAAGCGUUAUCCGGAAUUAUUGGGCGUAAAGGGCUCGUAGGCGGUUCGUCGCGUCCGGUGUGAAAGUCCAUCGCUUAACGGUGGAUCCGCGCCGGGUACGGGCGGGCUUGAGUGCGGUAGGGGAGACUGGAAUUCCCGGUGUAACGGUGGAAUGUGUAGAUAUCGGGAAAGAACACCA
RNAcentral lists this ribosomal RNA (539 nucleotides) under Bifidobacterium adolescentis. RNAcentral's name for it is "partial 16S ribosomal RNA". It matches the Rfam family "Bacterial small subunit ribosomal RNA", at positions 162 to 711 of the family's 1533-position model. Lineage: Bacteria; Bacillati; Actinomycetota; Actinomycetes; Bifidobacteriales; Bifidobacteriaceae. The record is from RNAcentral.